GCCUGGGUGGCUCAGUUGGUUGAGCGUCCGACUUUGGCUCAGGUCAUGAUCUCAUGGUUCGUGGGUUCGUGCCCCAUGUCAGGCC
RNAcentral lists this transfer RNA (85 nucleotides) under Felis catus (domestic cat). It matches the Rfam family "tRNA". Rfam says of the family: Transfer RNA (tRNA) molecules are approximately 80 nucleotides in length. Their secondary structure includes four short double-helical elements and three loops (D, anti-codon, and T loops). The record is from Rfam by way of RNAcentral. Lineage: Eukaryota; Metazoa; Chordata; Mammalia; Carnivora; Felidae. RNAcentral also lists the same sequence under 1 other name.